UAUUGAGAGCUUUAACCUUGUGCGACCCCGCGUGGAUGUUGUUUUUGGGCUUUGCCAUAUGCAACACCAAAUUCUAAUUCAUUUAAACUGACUGAUCUCAGUUCAGAAGACUCUGGGCUGUCAGUAAAGGGUUAAAAUUUCACAUACAGAGUCAUGUGACAAAACAACAUGGUGGUGAUCACAGCGGAGUUUGUCUUUUGAGGAAACACCAACAAAACUACAUCUUUUGACUGUAAAGAACAGAAAGGGUAUUAAAAGAGACAUUACUCAAUGACAUAUGGAUUGUGUGAAUCUCGUCAGUUUGGACACAAAAGAAAGAGUCAAACCAAACUUUACUCUCAACACACAGUGAAAGGAUCUCGCUGCUGAACUUCUACAUCACUAUACUACUAAAUCACUGGUCACCCCAAACCCAGGCCAUUAGUUGAUUCAAUGUUGCUUCAAACAAACAGAGCAAUGUGCCUCUGAGCCACAGUGUUUACACUUAUUGGAGAAAUGAAACUACGAAUGGCUUACUUUUAAAGCUGUCCCUGCACAUUAAACAAGGAUAGACAAAUGUAUAUUGUCAAAAACGUUACACACAUCAUCUUUAAAGCAGCAAUGAAACUAUUCAACUUACAAGUAUGAAAGAAAUGUGGUACCUGAAUAAAAAUCCCAGGAAAAGGCCUGGCCACAGGACGGUGCCACCGCCUUACACUUUGGAGAAACUACAACUAAUGUUAGACCAUCAAACAUCCAGCAUAAUUCUAUGGAGACCAGCACAAGCUAUCAGCCAUGCCAGAGCUUUUGUAAGCCAUUUGCCUAAAGCAACAAUCCCCUCUGUAGUUCAAGCUUAAGCAGUAUAAGAUCUACAAACAUGAAUUGUCCCUCCUCUUUGCAAACAGAAAAAGGCCUCAAACUUGCACAAAGAGGGUUUGUCCAAAGCCAGCAGCAGAGCAGUGGGCUGUCAUGAUGUGACCAACAGCUGGGAUCUUAGGAUGUGCCAAGUGCAUGAGCUGAGAGACUAUUUAGCAGAGAUGGGCCACUUCAAUUAAAAUCAAUGGUUAAAAUUGGAACGCCGAACAGUCAACGGAUGUGGAAAGUCCCACCUUUCAGAUUCCUCCUCCAGUUCAUCAUCCAGGUCAUCCGGCAGAGGGGGAAGCACAGGGUCAAAGUUCUUCUGCGCCACCAUGUCAUGUACUGCUAGCACUGCCUGAUGGAUCAUGCGGAGAGUGAGAGUUGGAGGAGAUAAAGGACGGCCCAGUCCACCGAAAGUGGGAGAGAGAGCCCAGCUGAAAAGCUAUUUGUGUGUUGGACACUGCCGUGUUUCAACGUUUGAGUGUUUAAAUUGAAGCUUCACCAUUGCGC
Long non-coding RNA from Myxocyprinus asiaticus (Chinese sucker), 1347 nucleotides. RefSeq lists it as uncharacterized. The record is from RefSeq and is a predicted model, not a curated record. Lineage: Eukaryota; Metazoa; Chordata; Actinopteri; Cypriniformes; Catostomidae. The transcript has 6 exons.